Long non-coding RNA from Apis laboriosa (Himalayan honeybee), 528 nucleotides. RefSeq lists it as uncharacterized. The transcript is spliced from 3 exons. The record is from RefSeq and is a predicted model, not a curated record. Lineage: Eukaryota; Metazoa; Arthropoda; Insecta; Hymenoptera; Apidae.
UCCAUUUGUAAUAUAGACUGUUAAAUGUGGAAGAAAUUUUAUUAGAUAUUUCUUCAUUUGUUUGGAUAAGAGUGCAAUAAAUGAUCAAACGAUGGAAAGAGAAAUCGAGUUUGUAAAUUCAAAUAUUCAUGAAUGAGACGACGAAGAGUGAAGAACAAAGAUUGGGUUCAUUUUUCUCAAAGAUGUUUACAUUAAUAUAGAAAAUAGAGAAGUCAAAUUAUAUCAAUUUCAAUAUUGGGAGAAACUGAAGAAAUUCAAAAGAAAGAUAUAAAAAAUAUUAAUUCUGAUAAAAUAAAUAAAAUUAUUCUAAACUUUAAAAAAUUAUGUAAAAUAAAAAGUAUGUAAUCCUUGUAAUCCUUAUGUUCUCUCAUGAAUAAUAUCACGAAAUCGUAAAAUUAUAAUUGUUAAUGUAUUAAAAAAAAUUGACAAUUAGAAAUAAAAAACUUGAUAAAUAAAUUCAGAUUACAAUUCUAACAACAAUAUUUAUUGAUCUAAAAGAUAAAAUAAUUGAUCUAUUUGUCACUAUAU